GCUAAGACUUCCCAUUGUCAAUGUAUUUCCUAGUGUCUUGCUGAAGGGACCAACAUCUGGGCCAUUAGAAGGAAAAUAUGAAGAGGAUUUUGCUAAUCCAUAACCUAACACUGACCGUUGCUUCUGAAACUUCCAUAGAAGAAUGGCAAGAAGUUAAGAGACGAUUUCCUGUACUUGUAUAAGGAGCAAAAAAGUGUAUAAUGAAUACAUAUUUUUAGAAGCUCCAAAGUAGAAGAUGAAUGCAGCAAAUUGACAAAAGGGAACACACAAUUGAUCAUGGCUUGUCAACUAGGUAGCGUAUAAUGCAUGAUGUAGUGGUGACUGAACAAGUUUCUCUCAUUGCAAAACCUAAUCACAUACCCGGGAUAAUCUAUAUUUAAAUCUUUUAGGAAUAAUGACACAAAUACACCCACCCCCAAUUGUUCAAUUGUCAACCUACACAGAGUAUACAGUGGAGCUGUCAAACUGAUCCAUGGGCAACAGCUGACCUAAAAACCCAGACACAGAGAGCCAAACUCAGAGCUGAGAAUUAAACUUAGGUCUGGGUUGAAAACAGCCUAUGAAACCAGGGUAAACCAAGAAG
RNAcentral lists this long non-coding RNA (583 nucleotides) under Oryctolagus cuniculus (rabbit). Its description in RNAcentral is "lncRNA (ENSOCUG00000037496.1)". Lineage: Eukaryota; Metazoa; Chordata; Mammalia; Lagomorpha; Leporidae. The record is from RNAcentral.